AGGAUUCUCUCAGUAACGGCGAGUGAACAGAGAAUAGCCCAGCACCGAAGCCUACUCGCGUUUGUGAGCAAGGCAAUGUGGUGUUACGAUGCUUGCCUGGGGCGAUCGGUCCAUUCGAAGUCCAGCAUAGAUUAUGGCUCUGGAUAUUGCUCAAAGCGGGUGAAAGGCCCGUGCGGAUGGACAUCAGGCAUGUUGAUCGCCCUCAGAUGCAUUCAUUGUGGAGUCGGAUAGCUUGAGAAUGCUGUCCAAAGUGGGUGGUAAACUCCAUCCAAGGCUAAAUACUGGCACGAAUCCGAUAGCUUACAAGUACCGUGAGGGAAAGUUGAAAAGCACUCUGAAGAGAGAGUAAAUAGUACGUGAAGCCGCCUGUAGGGAAGCUGGAGGAGUCAAGCCGCAUGCUUGGGGAAUCAAGCCAGUGAUGGUUGUGUGGAUUGUGGAGCUGGGUGGCCGGUGGGCUUGUAAAUAGUCCGGUGGUUCAUUUCGUCCCGUGAGCGUACUGGUUGGUGCGUGCGGGGCCGGUCACCUUAUGCUUUCGUCACUGGUGUGGUUUCCUCAUUGCAGACAUCACGAUCGGUAGUGCUGUUGACAUUGGGUGGUCAAACUGUCAGGGCGUGGGCUCAUGCUCACCCCUGGCGGGAUGGCAGUUGGCUCGCCUUGUGGCCUCGGCUGCUUGGUGGGUUCUUCUCGGCUGUGGCCGGCUGAUCACCCUGUUGUGCUUUCAGUCAUGCAGAGUACCGGUGUUGUGUGUGAGCUGGGCCUUUGUCUGGUGUCGUGUUGGCGAUGCCGGUGCGUUUGCCAUGCGAGUGGUGCGUGCCGGUGUGUCUGUUGGCGCGGCGCUUGGCGAUAGUCUGGCUUGUGAAUCGUGGUGUGGUGGUAGA
This 878-nucleotide ribosomal RNA is filed under the name Lepidotrema longipenis. RNAcentral describes it as "eukaryotic LSU rRNA". It matches the Rfam family "Eukaryotic large subunit ribosomal RNA", at positions 71 to 605 of the family's 3401-position model. The record is from RNAcentral. Lineage: Eukaryota; Metazoa; Platyhelminthes; Monogenea; Dactylogyridea; Diplectanidae.